This 424-nucleotide ribosomal RNA is filed under the name uncultured Parasegetibacter sp. Its description in RNAcentral is "bacterial SSU rRNA". It matches the Rfam family "Bacterial small subunit ribosomal RNA", at positions 355 to 794 of the family's 1533-position model. Lineage: Bacteria; Pseudomonadati; Bacteroidota; Chitinophagia; Chitinophagales; Chitinophagaceae. The record is from RNAcentral.
UGGGGAAUAUUGGGCAAUGGAGGCAACUCUGACCCAGCAAUGCCGCGUGAGCGAUGAAGGUAGUUUUAUUGUAAAGCUCUUUUCUCAGGAACGAACAAAUGACGGUACCUGAGGAAUAAGCCCCGGCUAACUCCGUGCCAGCAGCCGCGGUAAUACGGAGGGUGCAAGCGUUAUCCGGAUUUAUUGGGUUUAAAGGGUGCGUAGGCUGUAAGUCAAGUCAGCGGUGAAAAGUCGGGGCUAAACCUUGAGGGUGCCGUUGAAACUGAUUUACUAGAAUGUGGAUGAUGCCGGCGGAAUGUGUCAAGUAGCGGUGAAAUGCAUAGAUAUGACACAGAAGGCCGAUUGCGAAGGCAGCUGGCAAAGGCACGAUUGACGCUGAGGCACGAAAGUGCGGGGAUCGAACAGGAUUAGAUACCCUGGUAGU